RNAcentral lists this transfer RNA (73 nucleotides) under Camelus bactrianus (Bactrian camel). It matches the Rfam family "tRNA". Rfam says of the family: Transfer RNA (tRNA) molecules are approximately 80 nucleotides in length. Their secondary structure includes four short double-helical elements and three loops (D, anti-codon, and T loops). Lineage: Eukaryota; Metazoa; Chordata; Mammalia; Artiodactyla; Camelidae. RNAcentral also lists the same sequence under 1 other name. The record is from Rfam by way of RNAcentral.
GAGGGUGUAGCUCAAGUGGUAGAGUGCGUGCUUAGCAUGCAUGAGGUCCUGGGUUCAAUCCCCAGUACCUCCU